This 72-nucleotide transfer RNA is filed under the name Ictidomys tridecemlineatus (thirteen-lined ground squirrel). RNAcentral describes it as "Spermophilus tridecemlineatus (thirteen-lined ground squirrel) tRNA". It matches the Rfam family "tRNA". Rfam says of the family: Transfer RNA (tRNA) molecules are approximately 80 nucleotides in length. Lineage: Eukaryota; Metazoa; Chordata; Mammalia; Rodentia; Sciuridae. The record is from Rfam by way of RNAcentral.
AGGGAUGUAGCUCAGCAGUAGAGCCCUUGUCUAACAUGCAUAAGGCCCUGGGUUCAAUCCCCAGCACCACAA